This 203-nucleotide long non-coding RNA is filed under the name Elaeis guineensis (African oil palm). RNAcentral describes it as "long non-coding RNA (EGUI_LNC012155)". Lineage: Eukaryota; Viridiplantae; Streptophyta; Magnoliopsida; Arecales; Arecaceae. The record is from RNAcentral.
GGUGCCAUCUGAAUCUAAUUAUAGUCUGCAAAGGUGUCCAUGAAACUUAAGAGUCGAUGACCCAAAGUCACAUCAACUAGUUGAUCAAUCUUUGGUAAAGAAAAAUUGUGCUUCGAACAAGCAUCGUUCAAAUUUAUGUAGUCGACGUAGAUUCUUCAUUUCUCAUUAGCCUUUCUCACCAUCACUACAUUGGUGAGCCAAUC